RNAcentral lists this ribosomal RNA (797 nucleotides) under uncultured Glomus. RNAcentral describes it as "SSU rRNA". It matches the Rfam family "Eukaryotic small subunit ribosomal RNA", at positions 314 to 1114 of the family's 1831-position model. Lineage: Eukaryota; Fungi; Glomeromycota; Glomeromycetes; Glomerales; Glomeraceae. The record is from RNAcentral.
AUCAACUUUCGAUGGUAGGAUAGAGGCCUACCAUGGAGGAACGGGUAACGGGGUGUUAGGGCACGACACCGGAGAGGGAGCCUGAGAAACGGCUACCACAUCCAAGGAUGGCAGCAGGCGCGCAAAUUACCCAAUCCCGGCACGGGGAGGUAGUGACAAUAAAUAACAAUACGGGGUCCUUUCGGAUUUCGUAAUUGGAAUGAGUACAAUUUAAAUCUCUUAACGAGGAACAAUUGGAGGGCAAGUCUGGUGCCAGCAGCCGCGGUAAUUCCAGCUCCAAUAGCGUAUAUUAAAGUUGCUGCAGUUAAAAAGCUCGUAGUUGAAUUUCGGGACCAUCAUGUCGGUCGUGCCUCGGUACGUACUGGUAUUGUUGGUUUCUCCCUUCUGACGAACCAUGAUGUCAUUUAUUUGGUGUUGUGGGGAAUCAGGACUGUUACUUUGAAAAAAUUAGAGUGUUUAAAGCAGGCUCACGCUUGAAUACAUUAGCAUGGAAUAAUGAAAUAGGACGUUUGAUUCUAUUUUGUUGGCUUCUAGGAUCGACGUAAUGAUUAAUAGGGAUAGUUGGGGGCAUUAGUAUUCAAUUGUCAGAGGUGAAAUUCUUGGAUUUAUUGAAGACUAACUACUGCGAAAGCAUUUGCCAAGGAUGUCUUCAUUAAUCAAGAACGAAAGUUAGGGGAUCGAAGACGAUCAGAUACCGUCGUAGUCUUAACCAUAAACUAUGCCGACUAGGGAUCGGAUGAUGUUAAUUUUUUAAUGACUCAUUCGGCACCUUACGGGAAACCAAAGUGUUUGGGUUC